AAAGAAAAAAAAAUGAAAAAUAUCGUAAAUAUCGAAUUACUGAAAAAGAAGGGGGAAGAAGAGAAAUUCUAAAAUUGAAGCGCCGUGUCGAAUCCAUCUCUGCGACUUCUCCAUCGGCGGAACUUUCUCGACGAUGCCUUGCCUACCGCAGCCUCUGCACAAGCAUCGAAAUCUCCAGCACGGAAGAAGAAACCGGGAGCUGUCGGUCCAACUAUGAGAACAGCCAUACCUCGUAGUGAAUUCACCAGCCGUCACUACGCAUUAUCGCAUCGCAUGAACGGCUGACAGAUCACAGUGGAUACUCGACGAAAUGACUUGCAGCCUACACACAUUUACGAAACGUGGCUGAAGGGCACUCGACCGUUUUCGAGACAGAGAGAGAAAGAGAAAGAGAGAAAGAAGGAGGAAGAGAAGAACCACUUCGACGUUCUAACGCGAUAACUCUCUCUCUCUCUCUCUUUCUCGAAGGAAAGAAAUCGUUUAGGGAGAGGUGUGUCGUUUCAUCGAAACGAAGAAUACUGGAAGAAUUAUUCGUGAUGUAUAAUUAUCGUCGUGUGCGUAAUCAUCUUGAAAUAACGGGUUGGAGUUUGGAUUUUUUUUUGUCAGUCUGUGUUUCAGAGAUACAGAGUGUACGGGUUUCUUGUAUUGGACUAAUGAUAGACGGCUAACCGUUGCACUCCUGGGGACAAACUUCUGUUUGUCGCAGAGGAGGAUCGAAUUCUUUGCCUCAACGUUUGGAUCUAUGAUUGGGAUACGUAAAAGGUGUUUACAUACGUGCAGCUGGAUGAAAUUUCUUUUAAAGGAGCAGAGGACUACGGUAGCCGAGAGGGAGAAUUGUGCUAAGUCAAAAAAUCAACAUUAAGGCGCGGGGUCCGUGCAUGGACGGAAUUUUUUGUUCGGAAUAAGUAUUA
This is a long non-coding RNA of Apis florea (little honeybee), 911 nucleotides long. RefSeq lists it as uncharacterized. The record is from RefSeq and is a predicted model, not a curated record. NCBI's taxonomy places the organism in Eukaryota, Metazoa, Arthropoda, Insecta, Hymenoptera, Apidae.